This 253-nucleotide ribosomal RNA is filed under the name uncultured bacterium. RNAcentral's name for it is "partial 16S ribosomal RNA". It matches the Rfam family "Bacterial small subunit ribosomal RNA", at positions 524 to 776 of the family's 1533-position model. The record is from RNAcentral.
UACGAGGGGGGCGAGCGUUGUUCGGAAUUAUUGGGCGUAAAGGGUGCGUAGGCGGUUUGGUAAGUCUGAUGUGAAAUCUAUGGGCUCAACUCAUAGUCUGCAUCGGAAACUGCCGGGCUUGAGUAUGGGAGAGGUGAGUGGAAUUCCUGGUGUAGCGGUGAAAUGCGUAGAUAUCAGGAGGAACACCUGUGGCGAAAGCGGCUCACUGGACCAUAACUGACGCUGCGACACGAAAGCGUGGGUAGCAAACAGG